CCAGCAAUGCCGCGUGAGUGAAGAAGGCCUUCGGGUUGUAAAGCUCUUUUGUCAGGGAAGAAACACCGGCUCUAACACAGUCCGGGAAUGACGGUACCUGAAGAAUAAGCACCGGCUAACUACGUGCCAGCAGCCGCGGUAAUACGUAGGGUGCAAGCGUUAAUCGGAAUUACUGGGCGUAAAGCGUGCGCAGGCGGUUAUACAAGACAGGCGUGAAAUCCCCGGGCUUAACCUGGGAAUGGCGCCUGUGACUGUAUAGCUAGAGUGUGUCAGAGGGGGGUAGAAUUCCACGUGUAGCAGUGAAAUGCGUAGAUAUGUGGAGGAAUACCAAUGGCGAAGGCAGCCCCCUGGGAUAACACUGACGCUCAUGCACGAAAGCGUGGGGAGCAAACAGGAUUAGAUACCCUGGUAGUCCACGCCCUAAACGAUGCUGACUAGUUGUUCGGGAUUUACAUCCUGAGUAACGUAGCUAACGCGUGAAGUCAGCCGCCUGGGGAGUACC
Molecule: ribosomal RNA, 502 nt
Filed under: uncultured beta proteobacterium
Lineage: Bacteria; Pseudomonadati; Pseudomonadota; Betaproteobacteria
Description: bacterial SSU rRNA
Rfam family: Bacterial small subunit ribosomal RNA
Source: RNAcentral